Molecule: unclassified non-coding RNA, 257 nt
Filed under: uncultured Lecanicillium
Lineage: Eukaryota; Fungi; Ascomycota; Sordariomycetes; Hypocreales; Cordycipitaceae
Description: sequence contains ITS2
Source: RNAcentral
AACGCACAUUGCGCCCGCCAGCAUUCUGGCGGGCAUGCCUGUUCGAGCGUCAUUUCAACCCUCGACUUCCCUUUGGGGAAAUCGGCGUUGGGGACUGGCAGCAUACCGCCGGCCCCGAAAUGGAGUGGCGGCCCGUCCGCGGCGACCUCUGCGUAGUAAUCCAACCUCGCACCGGAACCCCGACGUGGCCACGCCGUAAAACACCCCACUUUCUGAACGUUGACCUCGGAUCAGGUAGGAAUACCCGCUGAACUUAA